RNAcentral lists this transfer RNA (73 nucleotides) under Brachybacterium faecium. Its description in RNAcentral is "tRNA-Ile-GAT". It matches the Rfam family "tRNA". From Rfam's summary of the family: Transfer RNA (tRNA) molecules are approximately 80 nucleotides in length. Their secondary structure includes four short double-helical elements and three loops (D, anti-codon, and T loops). Further hydrogen bonds mediate the characteristic L-shaped molecular structure. tRNAs have two regions of fundamental functional importance: the anti-codon, which is responsible for specific mRNA codon recognition, and the 3' end, to which the tRNAs corresponding amino acid is attached (by aminoacyl-tRNA synthetases). tRNAs cope with the degeneracy of the genetic code in two manners: having more than one tRNA (with a specific anti-codon) for a particular amino acid; and 'wobble' base-pairing, i.e. permitting non-standard base-pairing at the 3rd anti-codon position. The record is from RNAcentral. Lineage: Bacteria; Bacillati; Actinomycetota; Actinomycetes; Micrococcales; Dermabacteraceae.
UAGGACGUAAGCUCAUCGGUAGAGCGCAAGACUGAUAAUCUUGAGGUUACAGGUUCGAGUCCUGUCGUCCUGG